CGACGGUUGUCCCGGUUUAAGCGUGUAGGUGUGUGUUCCAGGUAAAUCCGGUUCACUUUAACACUGAGGCGUGAUGACGAGGAACUACGGUGCUGAAGCAACAAAUGCCCUGCUUCCAGGAAAAGCCCGCUCGCCGGAAGACCAAGGGUUCCUGUCCAACGUUAAUCGGGGCAGGGUGAGUCGACCCCUAAGGCGAGGCCGAAAGGCGUAGUCGAUGGGAAACGGGUUAAUAUUCCCGUACUUGGU
This 246-nucleotide ribosomal RNA is filed under the name Salmonella enterica subsp. enterica serovar Anatum. RNAcentral describes it as "partial 23S ribosomal RNA". The stretch from base 132 to 246 matches the Rfam family "Bacterial large subunit ribosomal RNA", at positions 1335 to 1449 of the family's 2925-position model. The record is from RNAcentral. Lineage: Bacteria; Pseudomonadati; Pseudomonadota; Gammaproteobacteria; Enterobacterales; Enterobacteriaceae.